GAUGAAGAACGUAGCGAAAUGUGAUACGUAAUGUGAAUUGCAGAAUUCAGUGAAUCAUCGAAUCUUUGAACGCAUAUUGCGCUCUCUGGUAUUCCGGAGAGCAUGCUUGUUUGAGUAUCAGUAAACACCUCAACUUCCAUAUCUUUUUUGAAAUGGGAGUUGGACUUGAGUGAUCCCAACGCUUUUCCUCACCGAAAAGUGGCGGGUUACUUGAAAUGCAGGUGCAGCUGGACUUUUCUCUGAGCUAUAAGCAUAUCUAUUUAGUCUGCCUAAAAAACAGAUUAUUACCUUUGCUGCAGCUAACAUAAAGGAGAUUAGUUCUUGUGCUGACUGAUGCAGGAUUCACAAAGACAGCUUCGGCCGACUUUGUAAACUCGAUCUCAAAUCAAGUAAGACUACCCGCUGAACUUAAGCAUAUCAAUAAGCGGAGGA
Molecule: unclassified non-coding RNA, 432 nt
Filed under: soil metagenome
Description: partial contains 5.8S ribosomal RNA, internal transcribed spacer 2, and large subunit ribosomal RNA
Rfam family: 5.8S ribosomal RNA (bases 1-120)
Source: RNAcentral